This 468-nucleotide ribosomal RNA is filed under the name uncultured bacterium. RNAcentral describes it as "partial 16S ribosomal RNA". It matches the Rfam family "Bacterial small subunit ribosomal RNA", at positions 28 to 507 of the family's 1533-position model. The record is from RNAcentral.
GACGAACGCUGGCGGCGUGCUUAACACAUGCAAGUCGAACGGAAAGGCCCUGCUUUUGUGGGGUGCUCGAGUGGCGAACGGGUGAGUAACACGUGAGUAACCUGCCCUUGACUUUGGGAUAACUUCAGGAAACUGGGGCUAAUACCGGAUAGGAGCUCCUGCUGCAUGGUGGGGGUUGGAAAGUUUCGGCGGUUGGGGAUGGACUCGCGGCUUAUCAGCUUGUUGGUGGGGUAGUGGCUUACCAAGGCUUUGACGGGUAGCCGGCCUGAGAGGGUGACCGGCCACAUGGGGACUGAGAGACGGCCCAGACUCCUACGGGAGGCAGCAGUGGGGAAUAUUGCACAAUGGGCGGAAGCCUGAUGCAGCAACGCCGCGUGCGGGAUGACGGCUUUCGGGUUGUAAACCGCUUUCGCCUGUGACGAAGCGUGAGUGACGGUAAUGGGUAAAGAAGCACCGGCUAACUACGUG